RNAcentral lists this ribosomal RNA (468 nucleotides) under uncultured bacterium. Its description in RNAcentral is "partial 16S ribosomal RNA". It matches the Rfam family "Bacterial small subunit ribosomal RNA", at positions 28 to 507 of the family's 1533-position model. The record is from RNAcentral.
GACGAACGCUGGCGGCGUGCUUAACACAUGCAAGUCGAACGGAAAGGCCCUGCUUUUGUGGGGUGCUCGAGUGGCGAACGGGUGAGUAACACGUGAGUAACCUGCCCUUUACUUUGGUAUAACUUCAGGAAACUGGGGCUAAUACCGGUUAGGAGCUCCUGCUGCAUGGUGGGGGUUGGAAAGUUUCGGCGGUUGGGGAUGGACUCGCGGCUUAUCAGCUUGUUGGUUGGGUAGUGGCUUACCAAGGCUUUGACGGGUAGCCGGCAUGAGAGGGUGACCGGACAAAUUGGGACUGAGAUACGGACCAGAGUCCUACGGGAGGCAGCAGUGGGGAAUAUUGCACAAUGGGAGGAAGCCUGAUGCAGAAACGCCGCGUGCGGGAUGACGGCCUUCGGGUUGUAAACCGCUUUCGCCUGUGACGAAGAGUGAGUGACGGUAAUGGGUAAAGAAGCACCGGCUAACUACGUG